GGCGAGUGAAGCGGCAACAGCUCAAAUUUGAAAUCUGGCCGCAAGGUCCGAGUUGUAAUUUGUAGAGGAUGUUUCGGGUGUGGUCCAGUCUAAGUUCCUUGGAACAGGACGUCAUAGAGGGUGAGAAUCCCGUAUGUGACUGGGUGCCUAAUCCCAUGUGAAACUCCUUCAACGAGUCGAGUUGUUUGGGAAUGCAGCUCAAAAUGGGUGGUAAAUUUCAUCUAAAGCUAAAUAUUGGCCAGAGACCGAUAGCGCACAAGUAGAGUGAUCGAAAGAUGAAAAGCACUUUGGAAAGAGAGUUAAACAGUACGUGAAAUUGUUGAAAGGGAAGCGCUUGCAACCAGACUUGCACGCAGCUGAUCAUCCGGUGUUCUCACCGGUGCACUCGGUUGCGUUCAGGCCAGCAUCGGUUUUGGUGGUGGGAUAAAGGCCCUAGGAAUGUGGCUCCUCUCGGGGAGUGUUAUAGCCUAGGGUGCAAUGCCGCCUACCGGGACCGAGGACCGCGCUUCGGCUAGGAUGCUGGCGUAAUGGUUGUAAGCGACCCGUCUUGAAACACGGACCAAGGAGUCUAACAUCUAUGCGAGUGUUUGGGUGUCAAACCCAUACGCGUAAUGAAAGUGAACGGAGGUGAGAACCCUUAAGGGUGCAUCAUCGACCGAUCCUGAUGUCUUCGGAUGGAUUUGAGUAAGAGCAUAGCUGUUGGGACCCGAAAGAUGGUGAACUAUGCCUGAAUAGGGUGAAGCCAGAGGAAACUCUGGUGGAGGCUCGCAGCGGUUCUGACGUGCAAAUCGAUCGUCAAAUU
Molecule: ribosomal RNA, 802 nt
Filed under: Holwaya mucida
Lineage: Eukaryota; Fungi; Ascomycota; Leotiomycetes; Thelebolales; Holwayaceae
Description: partial large subunit ribosomal RNA
Rfam family: Eukaryotic large subunit ribosomal RNA
Source: RNAcentral